RNAcentral lists this ribosomal RNA (497 nucleotides) under uncultured bacterium. RNAcentral's name for it is "partial 16S ribosomal RNA". It matches the Rfam family "Bacterial small subunit ribosomal RNA", at positions 28 to 507 of the family's 1533-position model. The record is from RNAcentral.
GAUGAACGCUGGCGGCGUGCCUAAUACAUGCAAGUCGAGCGAACAGACGAGGAGCUUGCUCCUCUGACGUUAGCGGCGGACGGGUGAGUAACACGUGGAUAACCUACCUAUAAGACUGGGAUAACUUCGGGAAACCGGAGCUAAUACCGGAUAAUAUAUUGAACCGCAUGGUUCAAUAGUGAAAGACGGUUUUGCUGUCACUUAUAGAUUGAUCCGCGCCGCAUUAGCUAGUUGGUAAGGUAACGGCUUACCAAGGCAACGAUGCGUAGCCGACCUGAGAGGGUGAUCGGCCACACUGGAACUGAGACACGGUCCAGACUCCUACGGGAGGCAGCAGUAGGGAAUCUUCCGCAAUGGGCGAAAGCCUGAAGGAGCAACGCCGCGUGAGUGAUGAAGGUCUUCGGAUCGUAAAACUCUGUUAUUAGGGAAGAACAAAUGUGUAAGUAACUAUGCACGUCUUGACGGUACCUAAUCAGAAAGCCACGGCUAACUACGUG